AUUAAUACAAAUGAUAACAUUGAUCUGAGCUAUCAACAUCUGAGUUGCUACCAUCUUCAUGACUUUCUUUCUUCACCACUUUCAUUUCUUGAACUGUACUUGUAUUGCUCUUUGGAGUUUCCUCUUUUAUCUUGUUAUGAUGUUCCUCUCUUUUUUUUCUCCAAUCACUCUUCCUUUUCCAUUGUCUCACUAACAAAAUCCCCAAACUUAAAA
RNAcentral lists this unclassified non-coding RNA (213 nucleotides) under Hevea brasiliensis (rubber tree). The record is from RNAcentral. Lineage: Eukaryota; Viridiplantae; Streptophyta; Magnoliopsida; Malpighiales; Euphorbiaceae.